GCACUGCUGAGGAGUCCCAUACCAGGACGAAGUGGCCGUCCAGUGC
This 46-nucleotide non-coding RNA is filed under the name Schistosoma haematobium. The record is from RNAcentral. Lineage: Eukaryota; Metazoa; Platyhelminthes; Trematoda; Strigeidida; Schistosomatidae.